AACGAAAAUCUAUUCACCUCUUACUACCCCGACAAUUCUAGGUCUACCUGCAGUAGUAUUAAUCAUUUUAUUUUCCCCUGUACUAUUUCCAACCUCCAGUCAUCUAAUCAGUAACUGAUUGAUUUCCAUUCAACAGUGACUAAUUCAACUUGUACUAAAACAAAUAAUAAUAACCCAUAAUAUUAAAGGAUGAACCUGAUCCCUUAUACUGAUCUCCCUAAUUCUCUUCAUUGCCUCAACCAAUCUCCUUGGGCUUCUACCCCAUUCAUUUAUACCAACUACCCAAUUAUCAAUAAACCUAGGUAUAGCAAUCCCCUUAUGAGCAGGCACAGUCAUUACAGCCUUCUGCUUCAAGACAAAAACCUCCUUAGCUCACUUUUUACCACAAGGCACACCUAUACCACUUAUCCCUAUGCUAGUGAUCAUUGAAACUAUUAGCCUAUUCAUUUAACCAAUGGCACCAGCUGUGCGAUUAACAGCCAACAUUACAGCUGGAAACCUGCUAAUACAUUUAAUCGGAGGAGCCACACUAGUUCUGUCAACUAUCAGUCUUCCCACAGCUUCAAUCGCUGUCAUUAUUCUAAUCCUACUAACCAUCCUCGAAUUCGCCGUAGCCCUCAUUCAGCCUACGUCUUAACACUGCUAGUAAACCUUUACCUGUACAACAACACA
RNAcentral lists this long non-coding RNA (672 nucleotides) under Homo sapiens (human). Its description in RNAcentral is "non-protein coding lnc-FAM117B-4:1". Lineage: Eukaryota; Metazoa; Chordata; Mammalia; Primates; Hominidae. The record is from RNAcentral.